RNAcentral lists this long non-coding RNA (1036 nucleotides) under Mytilus galloprovincialis (Mediterranean mussel). The record is from RNAcentral. Lineage: Eukaryota; Metazoa; Mollusca; Bivalvia; Mytilida; Mytilidae.
CGACUUUUUAUUAAACAUUUGUACAAAUAAUCUUCAUACCUAAUUUAACCCAAUGUCAUUUUAAAAAAGAAGGGUCCAUGCUUUAAUUUUUUAAAUUAAAUCAGUCUGAAUGAUAAAAAUCAGUGGAAAAUGCUCCUUUACCGAUAUGUCACAGUUUGAAGUCGCUAAAAUAACAUUUGACGUUGUUUCUAGCAAUGAAAAAAACGUCAUAUUAUAACGUCCUAUUUCGCGUUUUUCACGUCAUUACUCCCCUGUAUUUGUAUCGUAUGCCCUAAAACAACUAUCCUUAUUUACAACAGUAUUAUAGCAUCAACACAAGUUAUAUAAUUAGAUAAAAUUUCGAUACGACAGAAGAUAGAAUCACGUGUUCUAUUGAUUUGCAUAUUUAUACAUUAUACAAAAGUGAGAACUGAAUUAAAUUAUAAUAAUUCAAGCGUGACGAAAUGCGGGAAAUAUUCCAAUAAAUAACUCAGUUUUCCGUUUUAAUUGAGAUAUAUUCCUAUAAAAGUGGUAAAUGAAAGUAAUAACGGUAUGUUGAUACUUAUUGUAUGCAAAGCACAUUUUACAAAGAAUGGAUGAAAAAUCAAAAGUAAUAUAGGUAAGAUUCAGGUAACUUGUUACUGAUUGGUAACAACAAAGUAUGAGUGAAAAAAAAGUAAUGAAGACAUGGUUAAACUGGUUGUGUAUAAAUAAUGUUUGACACAGUAUAAUUGGAAAAGUUAGCGUGAUAAAGGUAAGUUAUCAUCAUUUUUUUUAAAAAUAAGUUUGAAUUUCAAAAAGGUAACAUAAUUCAGUUUAUUUGAGGUUGAACUGUCGUGAAGAACAAAAAAGGUGAGUCCUGUUUUAUAAACAUAUUAUUAUCAGCAAAAUCAUAUUUUCACGUUCGCCAUUUAAAAAAAUAUAUACAUAGGUGAGAAAAGAGACCAAAUCUUUGAAAACAUCAUCCUUAUUUUUUCAAUAUCUAUGAUGAGUCAGUGUUAGCUUAGUGUGCAUCAAAUGAUGUAUUUAUAAUUAACAUCAGUAGGUUUUAUUUAUA